This is a long non-coding RNA of Bradysia coprophila, 137 nucleotides long. Lineage: Eukaryota; Metazoa; Arthropoda; Insecta; Diptera; Sciaridae. The record is from RefSeq and is a predicted model, not a curated record.
UAUUAGGGGUUGUUAGCAAAACGGCCGCAAACUGUAAAUUCAACGGUAAAGCGGUAACGCUUUUGCUGGUGCGAAUUAAGUGUUAUCGUUCACUUUAUCGUUGAAUUUAAAGUUAGUAGCCUUAUGACUAAUGUCCU